RNAcentral lists this ribosomal RNA (2903 nucleotides) under Escherichia coli DEC11A. Its description in RNAcentral is "bacterial LSU rRNA". It matches the Rfam family "Bacterial large subunit ribosomal RNA". The record is from RNAcentral. Lineage: Bacteria; Pseudomonadati; Pseudomonadota; Gammaproteobacteria; Enterobacterales; Enterobacteriaceae.
UUAAGCGACUAAGCGUACACGGUGGAUGCCCUGGCAGUCAGAGGCGAUGAAGGACGUGCUAAUCUGCGAUAAGCGUCGGUAAGGUGAUAUGAACCGUUAUAACCGGCGAUUUCCGAAUGGGGAAACCCAGUGUGAUUCGUCACACUAUCAUUAACUGAAUCCAUAGGUUAAUGAGGCGAACCGGGGGAACUGAAACAUCUAAGUACCCCGAGGAAAAGAAAUCAACCGAGAUUCCCCCAGUAGCGGCGAGCGAACGGGGAGCAGCCCAGAGCCUGAAUCAGUGUGUGUGUUAGUGGAAGCGUCUGGAAAGGCGCGCGAUACAGGGUGACAGCCCCGUACACAAAAAUGCACAUGCUGUGAGCUCGAUGAGUAGGGCGGGACACGUGGUAUCCUGUCUGAAUAUGGGGGGACCAUCCUCCAAGGCUAAAUACUCCUGACUGACCGAUAGUGAACCAGUACCGUGAGGGAAAGGCGAAAAGAACCCCGGCGAGGGGAGUGAAAAAGAACCUGAAACCGUGUACGUACAAGCAGUGGGAGCACGCUUAGGCGUGUGACUGCGUACCUUUUGUAUAAUGGGUCAGCGACUUAUAUUCUGUAGCAAGGUUAACCGAAUAGGGGAGCCGAAGGGAAACCGAGUCUUAACUGGGCGUUAAGUUGCAGGGUAUAGACCCGAAACCCGGUGAUCUAGCCAUGGGCAGGUUGAAGGUUGGGUAACACUAACUGGAGGACCGAACCGACUAAUGUUGAAAAAUUAGCGGAUGACUUGUGGCUGGGGGUGAAAGGCCAAUCAAACCGGGAGAUAGCUGGUUCUCCCCGAAAGCUAUUUAGGUAGCGCCUCGUGAAUUCAUCUCCGGGGGUAGAGCACUGUUUCGGCAAGGGGGUCAUCCCGACUUACCAACCCGAUGCAAACUGCGAAUACCGGAGAAUGUUAUCACGGGAGACACACGGCGGGUGCUAACGUCCGUCGUGAAGAGGGAAACAACCCAGACCGCCAGCUAAGGUCCCAAAGUCAUGGUUAAGUGGGAAACGAUGUGGGAAGGCCCAGACAGCCAGGAUGUUGGCUUAGAAGCAGCCAUCAUUUAAAGAAAGCGUAAUAGCUCACUGGUCGAGUCGGCCUGCGCGGAAGAUGUAACGGGGCUAAACCAUGCACCGAAGCUGCGGCAGCGACGCUGAUGCGUUGUUGGGUAGGGGAGCGUUCUGUAAGCCUGCGAAGGUGUGCUGUGAGGCAUGCUGGAGGUAUCAGAAGUGCGAAUGCUGACAUAAGUAACGAUAAAGCGGGUGAAAAGCCCGCUCGCCGGAAGACCAAGGGUUCCUGUCCAACGUUAAUCGGGGCAGGGUGAGUCGACCCCUAAGGCGAGGCCGAAAGGCGUAGUCGAUGGGAAACAGGUUAAUAUUCCUGUACUUGGUGUUACUGCGAAGGGGGGACGGAGAAGGCUAUGUUGGCCGGGCGACGGUUGUCCCGGUUUAAGCGUGUAGGCUGGUUUUCCAGGCAAAUCCGGAAAAUCAAGGCUGAGGCGUGAUGACGAGGCACUACGGUGCUGAAGCAACAAAUGCCCUGCUUCCAGGAAAAGCCUCUAAGCAUCAGGUAACAUCAAAUCGUACCCCAAACCGACACAGGUGGUCAGGUAGAGAAUACCAAGGCGCUUGAGAGAACUCGGGUGAAGGAACUAGGCAAAAUGGUGCCGUAACUUCGGGAGAAGGCACGCUGAUAUGUAGGUGAAGCGACUUGCUCGUGGAGCUGAAAUCAGUCGAAGAUACCAGCUGGCUGCAACUGUUUAUUAAAAACACAGCACUGUGCAAACACGAAAGUGGACGUAUACGGUGUGACGCCUGCCCGGUGCCGGAAGGUUAAUUGAUGGGGUCAGCGCAAGCGAAGCUCUUGAUCGAAGCCCCGGUAAACGGCGGCCGUAACUAUAACGGUCCUAAGGUAGCGAAAUUCCUUGUCGGGUAAGUUCCGACCUGCACGAAUGGCGUAAUGAUGGCCAGGCUGUCUCCACCCGAGACUCAGUGAAAUUGAACUCGCUGUGAAGAUGCAGUGUACCCGCGGCAAGACGGAAAGACCCCGUGAACCUUUACUAUAGCUUGACACUGAACAUUGAGCCUUGAUGUGUAGGAUAGGUGGGAGGCUUUGAAGUGUGGACGCCAGUCUGCAUGGAGCCGACCUUGAAAUACCACCCUUUAAUGUUUGAUGUUCUAACGUUGACCCGUGAUCCGGGUUGCGGACAGUGUCUGGUGGGUAGUUUGACUGGGGCGGUCUCCUCCUAAAGAGUAACGGAGGAGCACGAAGGUUGGCUAAUCCUGGUCGGACAUCAGGAGGUUAGUGCAAUGGCAUAAGCCAGCUUGACUGCGAGCGUGACGGCGCGAGCAGGUGCGAAAGCAGGUCAUAGUGAUCCGGUGGUUCUGAAUGGAAGGGCCAUCGCUCAACGGAUAAAAGGUACUCCGGGGAUAACAGGCUGAUACCGCCCAAGAGUUCAUAUCGACAGCGGUGUUUGGCACCUCGAUGUCGGCUCAUCACAUCCUGGGGCUGAAGUAGGUCCCAAGGGUAUGGCUGUUCGCCAUUUAAAGUGGUACGCGAGCUGGGUUUAGAACGUCGUGAGACAGUUCGGUCCCUAUCUGCCGUGGGCGCUGGAGAACUGAGGGGGGCUGCUCCUAGUACGAGAAGGACCGGAGUGGACGCAUCACUGGUGUUCGGGUUGUCAUGCCAAUGGCACUGCCCGGUAGCUAAAUGCGGAAGAGAUAAGUGCUGAAAGCAUCUAAGCACGAAACUUGCCCCGAGAUGAGUUCUCCCUGACUCCUUGAGAGUCCUGAAGGAACGUUGAAGACGACGACGUUGAUAGGCCGGGUGUGUAAGCGCAGCGAUGCGUUGAGCUAACCGGUACUAAUGAACCGUGAGGCUUAACCUU